Molecule: ribosomal RNA, 253 nt
Filed under: uncultured bacterium
Lineage: Bacteria
Description: partial 16S ribosomal RNA
Rfam family: Bacterial small subunit ribosomal RNA
Source: RNAcentral
UACAGAGGUGGCAAGCGUUGUUCGGAAUUACUGGGCGUAAAGGGUGCGUAGGUGGUUUGAUAAGUUAUCUGUGAAAUUCCUGGGCUCAACCUAGGGUGGUCAGAUGAGACUGUUAGACUUGAGUAUGGGAGAGGGUAGUGGAAUUUCCGGUGUAGCGGUGAAAUGCGUAGAGAUCGGAAGGAACAUCGGUGGCGAAGGCGGCUACCUGGCCUGAUACUGACACUGAGGCACGAAAGCGUGGGGAGCAAACAGG